CGUGUAGGCGGCCAUGCAAGUCGGAUGUGAAAGCCCUCGGCUCAACCGGGGAAGUGCACUCGAAACUGCAAGGCUAGAGUCUCGGAGAGGAUCGUGGAAUUCUCGGUGUAGAGGUGAAAUUCGUAGAUAUCGAGAGGAACACCGGUGGCGAAGGCGGCGAUCUGGACGAUGACUGACGCUGAGACGCGAAGCGUGGGAGCAAACA
Molecule: ribosomal RNA, 205 nt
Filed under: uncultured bacterium
Lineage: Bacteria
Description: partial 16S ribosomal RNA
Rfam family: Bacterial small subunit ribosomal RNA
Source: RNAcentral